GUCGGCCUACGGGGGGCAGCAGUGAGGAAUAUUGGUCAAUGGGCGGAAGCCUGAACCAGCCAAGUCGCGUGAGGGAGGACGGUCCUAUGGAUUGUAAACCUCUUUAGGCGGGGAGCAAUGCCGGGCACGCGUGCCCGGAGGGAGAGUACCCGCAGAAUAAGCAUCGGCUAACUCCGUGCCAGCAGCCGCGGUAAUACGGAGGAUGCGAGCGUUAUCCGGAUUUAUUGGGUUUAAAGGGUGUGUAGGCGGGCUUUUAAGUCAGCGGUAAAAAUUCGGGGCUCAACCCCGUCCUGCCGUUGAAACUG
Molecule: ribosomal RNA, 305 nt
Filed under: uncultured bacterium
Lineage: Bacteria
Description: bacterial SSU rRNA
Rfam family: Bacterial small subunit ribosomal RNA
Source: RNAcentral